UUUUUUUUUUUUUUGCCUUUUUUCAGGGCCGCAGCCAAGGCAUACGGAGGUUCCCAGUAUAAACACAGCUCUUAUUUCUAGAUUGUCUAUUUCACUAAUUCUGAAAUAGUGUACAUAACAAUUCCAAAAUGAUGACGUUAAAUACGCAAAAUCUGCAUUCACUUUCCAUGUGAAGUGUGAGGGUUCACAGCCAUUUUCUGCUUGUUUCCAUAAACCAGCCCCACGAACCUCAAGGCGUGUAUUUACCAUCUUCUUCAUCUGCAGGUGGAUCAACACUCCGGCAGGUGCUCCAUGACAGCUCUGUAUGGCCAACACAGCCACCUGCCAUGGUAGUCACUAUCGUUGCUUCUCAGAAUGUAACCUCAUCCCUUUAUGGAGUCUCCCUUAUUUUCUGCCCCCUUGAAAAAGCUGUUGCCUUUUCACCAACCCUUAGGACCAAGUCCCCUUUGGGCCAUUAACAUCCAAGCAGGACUUCUUGAUAGCAAGGAGAAAGAGACUCCUGACACUCACUGAAGGAUGAGAUUAAUCCUUGCCCCACAAACGCUGACCCAGCCAUGUCGCCUCAGCACAGCCACGCUGCCUCCAAACCCAGGGGCCUCCUAGAAAAUGCAAAUGCAGAGAGAAAAGAACAGGGAUUAUGCUCAGGAUACAUACUGCCGAUAUUGCGUGCUCCCAGGUUCCAAGCACCACGCUAAGUUGUUUAUAUGAGAAAAUCCUGUCAACCUUGACUAUCUGACAAAUGCUCACAUGAAACCUUACUGGUGACAGGAGAAAAACCCAACACUAGAAGUAGGCAACAAGCCCUGCAACAGCAAGGAGAACAGCUGGAGCAGAGCUUCCAAGAGUCCCAGGACCACAGCAGUGCUAUCUUCCCAACUCCUGCAGGCUUACAACUACAUUCACUGCACAUGCUCGGUGUAAUAGAUCCCUGACUGAGACAGGACUUCCCCUCCUACCCAAGACUGCACUGUGAGGAGGAAGAUGAGCAGAUUAUUUCACCUUGGCCGCGGCACUACUCUGGAAUGUUCAAGCGCGAAGGCAAAGAUCUGGAGCAGACAGACCUGCGUCCCCAUCUCCACGGCAACAUUCACCUGCUUGGGCCAAUUCUAGCUUCACUGGGCCUCAAAGAGCUGAAUCUGCACCCUACUAACUUGGAAGAGUUGUCUAAGCAUGGCUUCUGGAAUGACCUAAAGCCGUAUACAAGUACAAGACUUAAAGAAGGACCACAAGAAAGCUUUACCGUCUGUUCUAAGGACCAGGAAACUGUCCCUAUGACAAACCAAUGAUGCAGCCAAAAAGACCGAGCCUCAGGACACCUUGAAGAGAAAAGGUUAAUGCAGAAAGGGGAACAUGGAGAUGAGGGCACCAGGGAUGAGGAAGGGAGGAAAUCCCGAAUGAAUUUUCUUUCCUAAACACAAUAAAAUGUUCCCAUAUUUCUCCUAAAGUAACGAGCAAGCAUUUCAAAAUGUGAGGCAUAUACAACUUUAACCUUGUCAGCAGGAUUUCCUCAAAGACUAUUUCGUUGGGGUGAAAAGAAAGAAAAAAAAAACCAUUCAGGGCUACACACUUAUGGAAUUAUUCCUCCCCUGUCAUUUGUUUGGCAGAGAAACCUCUGCUGUAUGUAAUUAGCUGAUUAAAUGCGGUAUCUGAUUGAACCCUAGCUAUCCAAAGUGAUCUUGAGCGGAUUGAAGGACACAUUCGAGCUCUUCGAUUGACAGUGUUUGUGCUGGGACGAUACGUCUUUACUCGAGGAGGGGAUAAACAUGCUAUUUGAACAAUUUAAACACCUGUGAUAAUGUACUUAUUCAUUCCAGAGGCGGGUUUUAUUAGCCCUUUUGAGAAUGAAAAAAAAGUGAUAGUCAAGUCGACACUCCUGAGAAAAGCACGUUAUCCACAAUGAUCUUUCACAGCGAGAAUGGAAAUCUUAUCAUACUUGACCCACGUAUGAUGUAGAGAAGCAAGAGACCGCUUCACAUGACUACGAUUUACCAUCACUGUCAAGGGUGCAGAAGCCUAUGUCAAAGACAGACACACGGGCCCCAAAACACAAGCAGAAAAGACGUCCUCCCAAGAAGAAUGUGCUUGUCCUUUCCACUCCCGCCGCCCCAACAAAACAAGCAGAUCGUGCUUUUUUUCCUCCAGCUGUCAUUACUGAUUUUAAAAUAAGCAAGGCUCCCCUCGAUGUUGCAGAGGUAUAAUUAAAGUCCUCUCGUGGUGGAGAAUGCCCCAAAGUGAGGAGUCACAGAAUCCCCACCCCAUCGCCUCAGCAGCCACAUGCCUCUCUUGAUCAGAAAUACAGUUCGUUCAAAACUCUACCCAUCAUCUUUGCUCCGAAUUCAAAGAGACCACUGAACUUUAUUCCAAGCAUCGGUUUCGUUACCUUUAAACUGGGGCAAAUACAUGUACCACUUACCUUCCAAACUUGAAACCAUCCUAUGCUAAAUAAAGUACUUCGGAAUAAAGCAAAAGGACCACAUAAACGAAGCUGCAGCAAAUACCAAAAACGUACUUCCCAUCAGCAUCGAACUGCUGUGGGAACAGGGCAACAUCCCUGCGAGGCCUUCCUGUAGAUUCUCCAUCAACAAUCUGCAGAAAGAGGAAAUGACUUACUGCAUCUCAUGUACUUUAAAUGAUACCUUUUUUUAAAACUUGUUUUUAACUAGAGGAGAAAAUAGAAUUUGAGCACUUUGUUGCCAGGCCUUAGGGCACCUGUCAGAGCUGGCCUGACCCUGGCCAUAGGCUAUUUUAAUUUACCCCCCAUCGCCACAGCUAGCUGUCAUGGAGACGCAGCCCCUGGUCAAAUCGAUCAGGCCGUGGUGCAGAAUAAAACUGCUUUGAACAGGCAGUGAAGGAAUCUGGUUUAAGAGUCAGAUAAACCUACCAAGAACAAACCAACAAAGAAAGACAGUUGGCUGGAAUAGCAUACAACUGCACCCCUUCACAUAUAAAGCUAAUCAAUUAGCAGUACACUGUUAGAACUUUUCCAUUUGCUGUGAUCAUUUUGCGGCUUCCAAAGCCCUCUCCCUUCAGCAUAUAGCUGUGAGCUGCGUUUCCACUAGAAACAGACCCUGGAAGUUCAAGGCUUUCAGCCGCCUCUGUUUUAUCCUCUCUUGGACCCGCAAAGCUUUGACACCUGUGUAAAGGCAGACACUAUACUACUUGGCUACACACACAAGAAAUAAAACCCAUAUAACCAGGAUUCUAACCAUAAAAUCCUCUGCCCACAUGGUAUUCCCAUCAUGCCCAAAGACACAAGCAUGUCUGGAGGCUGAAAUGUGGAUGGGAUUACUGGCUGAGCGUGACAGGAGGAAAAAUAGAACGUGGUGCUACGAUCCUCAGAAUUCGAACUCAGUCGACGCAUCGUCCACUGCUGGGGUGCUGAAUUUCUACUCAUUCUUUCCGUGUAACACACAGGUCGAGCAGCACGCACACCACCCAACUUCUGUUUACACUGAAAGCAGGGAAGACAAAUAACGAAAUCUUUUUCUGUCCACAAGGUCAUCCUUCUAAUCCAUGGAAUUCAUUUAAAUCCUGAGGUCCAGUUGGAUGUGUCCUCUCUAAGUAAAUCCACGCAGGUGCCUAACGAGACCUCCAACGGGGGCUUCAGAACGCAGAUGAGCAGCACCCACAGCACUGCCGCUGGUAAAUCGCUUUGGGUGGGGUAAGCACCAAAAAAGAAGCAUUUUCCUAUUCCGAGUAUCUUUUCGAGGGCAAUAAACUACUUUACCCCAAAAUUAAACUCUAAGCAAAAAAAAAAAAAGGAAACUAAUUAGGUGCUUGGGGUUAAUUUUCAAGGACUGGGAUCUAGAGUUUACCACCCACUUCUGCUUCAUCAACGGCACCACCUCAUCAUUAAACCCUUUGCUCGACUGUGCCUUCCACAGGGCCAGGAGAGUAACAAUUAUUCACCGUUCAAUCUUUCAAACCUGCUCAGCAAAAAGGACCACGGUCUGACUGACCUCACCUUUGUACUACAUUCGACAGUGUCUAUGAGGAGUUACAACACUUGAAGGUCCUGUUUAAACUGAUGAAAAUGAACAUCUCAAUACUAAGUGGAAAGUCAGCGAGAUAAAACCACCACCAUUCCCCCACCAAAAAUUUUAUCAUGUUUUUAGCCUAAAAUCUUGCAAUAGUAAUAGGGAGAUACUUCAAAACACUUU
Molecule: long non-coding RNA, 4160 nt
Filed under: Sus scrofa (pig)
Lineage: Eukaryota; Metazoa; Chordata; Mammalia; Artiodactyla; Suidae
Description: lncRNA (ENSSSCG00030006874.1)
Source: RNAcentral